This is a long non-coding RNA of Stegastes partitus (bicolor damselfish), 173 nucleotides long. RefSeq lists it as uncharacterized. The transcript has 3 exons. Lineage: Eukaryota; Metazoa; Chordata; Actinopteri; Pomacentridae. The record is from RefSeq and is a predicted model, not a curated record.
UGAGGUGUGGCUCCAUACAAAAAGAGCAGCAGGUGACAGUCGCAUCUGUGGAUCAGCUCACCAACACACAGGGAUCUGUGUGGAGUUUGAAGUUUGGAAAUGGAUAGAUGCGAAGAAAAUGGACACGGCCACGGCCACGGCCACGGCCACGGACACGGACACGGCCACGGCCA